Molecule: ribosomal RNA, 253 nt
Filed under: uncultured bacterium
Lineage: Bacteria
Description: partial 16S ribosomal RNA
Rfam family: Bacterial small subunit ribosomal RNA
Source: RNAcentral
UACGGGGGGUGCGAGCGUUGUCCGGAAUCACUGGGCGUAAAGGGCGCGUAGGUGGUUUGAUAAGGGUGUGGUGAAAGUCCGGAGCUCAACUCCGGAUCUGCCGUGCCGACUGUCAAACUCGAGGGCUGUAGAGGCAGACGGAAUUCCGGGUGUAGCGGUGGAAUGCGUAGAGAUCCGGAGGAACACCGGUGGCGAAGGCGGGUCUCUGGGCUGUAACUGACGCUGAGGAGCGAAAGCGUGGGUAGCGAACAGG